CCUACGGGAGGCAGCAGUGGGGAAUUUUGGACAAUGGGGGAAACCCUGAUCCAGCCAUCCCGCGUGAGUGAAGAAGGCCUUCGGGUUGUAAAGCUCUUUCGGAAGUGAAGAAAACUUAUUUCGUAAUAUGUUAUGAGUAUGACGGUAACUUUAGAAGAAGCACCGGCUAACUACGUGCCAGCAGCCGCGGUAAUACGUAGGGUGCGAGCGUUAAUCGGAAUCACUGGGCGUAAAGCGUGCGCAGGCGGUUUUGUAAGUCAGAUGUGAAAUCCCCGAGCUUAACUUGGGAACUGCGUUUGAAACUACAAGACUAGAGUGUGUCAGAGGGGGGUAGAAUUCCACGUGUAGCAGUGAAAUGCGUAGAGAUGUGGAGGAAUACCAAUGGCGAAGGCAGCCCCCUGGGAUAACACUGACGCUCAUGCACGAAAGCGUGGGGAGCGAACAGGAUUAGAUACCCUGGUAGUCCACGCCCUAAACGAUGUCAACUAGUUGUUGGUGGAGUAAGAUCCAUGAGUAACGUAGCUAACGCGUGAAGUUGACCGCCUGGGGAGUACGGUCGCAAGAUUAAAACUCAAAGGAAUUGACGG
RNAcentral lists this ribosomal RNA (587 nucleotides) under uncultured bacterium. RNAcentral's name for it is "bacterial SSU rRNA". It matches the Rfam family "Bacterial small subunit ribosomal RNA", at positions 338 to 916 of the family's 1533-position model. The record is from RNAcentral.